RNAcentral lists this ribosomal RNA (1008 nucleotides) under uncultured bacterium. RNAcentral's name for it is "bacterial SSU rRNA". It matches the Rfam family "Bacterial small subunit ribosomal RNA", at positions 335 to 1341 of the family's 1533-position model. The record is from RNAcentral.
ACUCCUACGGGAGGCAGCAGUGGGGAAUUUUGGACAAUGGGCGCAAGCCUGAUCCAGCAAUGCCGCGUGAGUGAAGAAGGCCUUCGGGUUGUAAAGCUCUUUUGUCAGGGAAGAAACGGCGGAGACGAAUACUUUCUGCUAAUGACGGUACCUGAAGAAUAAGCACCGGCUAACUACGUGCCAGCAGCCGCGGUAAUACGUAGGGUGCAAGCGUUAAUCGGAAUUACUGGGCGUAAAGCGUGCGCAGGCGGUUGUGCAAGACCGAUGUGAAAUCCCCGGGCUUAACCUGGGAAUGGCAUUGGUGACUGCACGGCUAGAGUGUGUCAGAGGGGGGUAGAAUUCCACGUGUAGCAGUGAAAUGCGUAGAGAUGUGGAGGAAUACCGAUGGCGAAGGCAGCCCCCUGGGAUAACACUGACGCUCAUGCACGAAAGCGUGGGGAGCAAACAGGAUUAGAUACCCUGGUAGUCCACGCCCUAAACGAUGUCAACUAGUUGUCGGGUCUUAAUUGACUUGGUAACGCAGCUAACGCGUGAAGUUGACCGCCUGGGGAGUACGGUCGCAAGAUUAAAACUCAAAGGAAUUGACGGGGACCCGCACAAGCGGUGGAUGAUGUGGAUUAAUUCGAUGCAACGCGAAAAACCUUACCUACCCUUGACAUGGCAGGAAUCCCCAAGAGAUUGGGGAGUGCCCGAAAGGGAACCUGCACACAGGUGCUGCAUGGCUGUCGUCAGCUCGUGUCGUGAGAUGUUGGGUUAAGUCCCGCAACGAGCGCAACCCUUGUCAUUAGUUGCUACGAAAGGGCACUCUAAUGAGACUGCCGGUGACAAACCGGAGGAGGGUGGGGAUGACGUCAAGUCCUCAUGGCCCUUAUGGGUAGGGCUUCACACGUCAUACAAUGGUACAUACAGAGGGCCGCCAACCCGCGAGGGGGAGCUAAUCCCAGAAAGUGUAUCGUAGUCCGGAUUGCAGUCUGCAACUCGACUGCAUGAAGUUGGAAUCGCUAGUAA